CAGGACGAACGCUGGCGGCGUGCCUAACACAUGCAAGUCGAGCGAGGAGAUCCUCGGGAUGAUCCUAGCGGCGGACGGGUGAGUAACACGUGGGCAACCUGCCUCAUAGAGAGGAAUAGCCUUCCGAAAGGGAGAUUAAUACCUCAUAACAUUGCAGUUUCGCAUGGAACAGCAAUUAAAGGAGUAAUCCGCUAUGAGAUGGGCCCGCGGCGCAUUAGCUAGUUGGUGAGGUAACGGCUCACCAAGGCGACGAUGCGUAGCCGACCUGAGAGGGUGAUCGGCCACAUUGGGACUGAGACACGGCCCAGACUCCUACGGGAGGCAGCAGUGGGGAAUAUUGCACAAUGGGGGAAACCCUGAUGCAGCAACGCCGCGUGAGUGAUGACGGCCUUCGGGUUGUAAAGCUCUGUCUUCAGGGACGAUAAUGACGGUACCUGAGGAGGAAGCCACGGCUAACUACGUGCCAGCCGCCGC
RNAcentral lists this ribosomal RNA (474 nucleotides) under uncultured bacterium. Its description in RNAcentral is "bacterial SSU rRNA". It matches the Rfam family "Bacterial small subunit ribosomal RNA", at positions 25 to 518 of the family's 1533-position model. The record is from RNAcentral.